UAGAGAUGUUUUGCUCUACACCAAGAGAAAAUAUCAUAAUCCGGUUAUUUACAUCACAGAGAAUGGCUUUGAUGAGCUUAAUGAUCCCAAGUUAUCUCUUGAGGAAGCCCUAGUCGACAACCAAAGAGUUGACUAUCAUUUUCGCCAUCUUUAUUACCUUGAAGCAGCGAUCAAAGAUGGUGUCAAUGUGAAAGGGUACUUUGCGUGGUCAUUGCUAGACAAUUUUGA
Molecule: non-coding RNA, 228 nt
Organism: Prunus avium (sweet cherry)
Lineage: Eukaryota; Viridiplantae; Streptophyta; Magnoliopsida; Rosales; Rosaceae
Source: RefSeq, a predicted model, not a curated record